Long non-coding RNA from Cyprinus carpio (common carp), 2424 nucleotides. Lineage: Eukaryota; Metazoa; Chordata; Actinopteri; Cypriniformes; Cyprinidae. The record is from Ensembl.
CUGGCAAGUGGUAAUACUAUACUAGUGACAUUGAAAAGUCAUCAACAGUUUUACCUGCAUUCAGACCACUUGUUUUCAGAUAUCACAAAAAGUGCUUUCGUAAUGAAUAAGCACAAAAUGAAGUGGAUAAAAGGGCUGCGGAUAAAAGAAGAUGAGAGGGCCGAGCUGAGAGUUGCUUUUUCCCGGAUGCUUGUGGUAUUGCGAAUGCUGUGUCUGCGGUUGAUGCGUGGGAAGAAAGCACUUCACCAUCAAACUUCAUGCAAAAAUGCUUCUGUUAAUCACCCGCAGCGCCAGAGAAGAAGGAGGGUUUCCAGAAACAACAAGGUCUGUAAUACCUGGAGAGAACUGUCCAAUGGUUUCCAAUUAAUCUCAAUGGCAGCUUGUUGGCCAACGCAGGAACCUUGAAAAGAAUAUGACCUGCUUUCUGUCAUCUUUGGAUGUGAGCAAAGAUUUUGAUGGGUGAGUCUGUUUCACACUUUUAAGAGCCCUCCAAAAAAAAAACAACUUUUGAAUAAUAGUAUUUGAAUAAUCAGAACUGAAGUGAAUCAUUACUGUUAUAUACAGUAUAUAUAGUUUGUGGAUUUUGAUGUUUCUUACAAGGAACCAGCUUUCCACUUCACAAGACAUUAAUUGAUGGACUGAAGUGGUGUGGAUUAUUAUGAUGUUUUUAUCAGCUGUUUGGACUCUCAUUCUGACGGCACCCAUUCACUGCAGAGGAUCCACUGGUGAGCAAGUCAUGUAAUGCUAAAUUUCUCCAAAUUCUGUUCUGACGAAGAAACAAACUCCAUCUUAGAUGGCCUGAGGUGAGUAAAUUUUCAGCAAAUUUUUGGGUACACAAGUCCUUAAACUGCAUUUGACAUAGUUAAUUAGAUUAACAUUAUAAAUCCCUAACAAUGUAUGACAGGACAUCUUUAACAAAAAUCUUAUUAGAUCCUGUACUCCAAAUCUAGCAUGUUUUUUUUUUUUAAAUUUAUUUAUUAAUUUUUUUUUUUUUUUGCAGCACUGGCAUGCUUGUAUGGAGUCUUUAAUUUCACAAGCAUCACUCCAAACAACUGAUCAUGCAUGCGGCCCAUAUGCUGAACUGACUGCCUUUGUGUCAAACAGCUGAAUAGGCAUUGAGAAUGUGAAUAACAUCGUGCAGCAUUACAAAAAAGCCAUGUUGUUGAUAUUGAAUCUUUUGUUACAAUGCUAGAUGGUGCAAAGCCUUAUUUUCUGAGAAUAUAAUUUGAGAAACUCUUGAAUCUGUGCCGAACUGACAGUUGUAGAGGUUGGAUGCAAGCAUGACAAAUGUAUUCAGGGCUUACGGGACAGUACACAACACGGACGUCUCUGUUUGCUGAUUCCUAAAUUUUAAUUACAAAUUUGGGGUAUGUCAGAAAUAUAGUUCCGCUACAUCUUCCAAAUAUGGUGGCGGCACUAACAUGCUAAUAAGUAACGGCACGGAGAUGUUGGAAGUUGGAAAGUAACAUGAAUACUGAUAAAGACACUGAUUGAUAAUGAAGUACUUGCGGCAUAAAUAUUCAGCACUUGCAGAUCACUACGGAUUAGAGCACUUCUUUCAACGCUGCGACUUCAAGGCAUUGAAUUACCAAUUUUUCAGUUUGGUGGCACUUAACAUCAAGUGUGUCAGGGAUGUGAGCCAAAAACUUUGUGAUAAGUCAUAACAGAACGUCAGUGGAAUAAUAUGAAUAGAGGUACAUGUAUGCAUAUCUAUAAACAUCUGAAAUCACUCAAUAGAUGAUUAGAAAGGUGUUUGUGUCUUGAUAUAAUUAUGUUGGAAGGGAAGGAACGUUGUGUGUUAAAGAGCACUUUGAGCUUAAGUGCACUAAAAGUGGAGAACACAAGUACUGUAAGUAGUCAAUUAUCAGAUGCUUUUAUCUCAAGUAACCCACUGUAUACUUAUUGCAGUGACAAGCCCCUGGAGCUCCUGCUGUUAAGUGCUCUGCUCAAGGGCACAGUGGUGAUCGCUCAGACCAGCAGCCUUCUAGUGUACCAGCCCUGAGCUUUAUACAUUAAGUCACAUGAACCCUACAUAUUACCGGAUCAGGGGCUCGCAGGGCACAUCUUUGGAGCCCUUUGCUCGCAUAUUACAGUACACUGUAAUAAUGUCUACAAUCAUAAUCAGAUUGACCAUUUUAAAAUCUGUUAUUACAGUAUAUACACUACUAUUUUAGGGUCAGAAAGUUUUUUUUUUUUUUAAUGACAAGCAAGGACACAUUAAAUUGGCCAAAAUUGACAGUAAAGACAUUUAUAAUGAUACACAAUAUUUCUAUUUCAAAAAACACUGUUCUUUGGAACUUCGUAUUCAUCCAAGAAUGUACCGUGGUCAUCAUGUGACACUAAAGACUUGAGUAAUGACUGCUGAAUAUUCAGCUUUGCCAUCACAGGAAUAAAUUACAUUUUAAAAUAUACUAAAAGAGAAAA